RNAcentral lists this ribosomal RNA (255 nucleotides) under uncultured bacterium. Its description in RNAcentral is "partial 16S ribosomal RNA". It matches the Rfam family "Bacterial small subunit ribosomal RNA", at positions 524 to 776 of the family's 1533-position model. The record is from RNAcentral.
UACGUAGGGGGCAAGCGUUGUCCGGAUUUAUUGGGCGUAAAGCGCUCGUAGGUGGUUCGGUAAGUCGGAUGUGAAAUCUCCAGGCUCAACCUGGAGGGGUCAUUCGAUACUGCCGUGACUAGAGUUCGGUAGGGGAGUGUGGAAUUCCAGGUGUAGCGGUGAAAUGCGUAGAUAUCUGGAGGAACACCGGUGGCGAAGGCGGCAUCCUGGACCAACACUGACGCUGAGUGAGCGAAAGCCAGGGGAGCAAACGGG